Molecule: non-coding RNA, 51 nt
Organism: Balearica pavonina (black crowned-crane)
Lineage: Eukaryota; Metazoa; Chordata; Aves; Gruiformes; Gruidae
Source: Rfam
AAAAAGGAUCUUUUGUUAAAAGAUCCAUUAUUACAGUCAGAAAAAAGUAGU